GUUUGAUCCUGGCUCAGGAUGAACGCUAGCGACAGGCUUAACACAUGCAAGUCGAGGGGCAGCGGGGAUGAAGCUUGCUUCAUCCGCCGGCGACCGGCGCACGGGUGAGUAACACGUAUGCAACCUGCCCCUGGCUGGGGGAUAAGCCGGAGAAAUCCGGUCUAAUACCGCGUAACAUCCUUACGGGACAUCCCGUUAGGAUCAAAGGAAGCGAUUCCGGCCAGGGAUGGGCAUGCGGCGCAUUAGCUAGUCGGCGGGGUAACGGCCCACCGAGGCGACGAUGCGUAGGGGUUCUGAGAGGAAGGUCCCCCACACUGGUACUGAGACACGGACCAGACUCCUACGGGAGGCAGCAGUGAGGAAUAUUGGUCAAUGGGCGCGAGCCUGAACCAGCCAAGUCGCGUGAGGGAAGACGGUCCUAUGGAUUGUAAACCUCUUUUGCCGGGGAGCAAGCUGGGUCACGUGUGACCCAGCUGAGAGUACCCGGAGAAAAAGCAUCGGCUAACUCCGUA
This 512-nucleotide ribosomal RNA is filed under the name uncultured Bacteroidales bacterium. RNAcentral's name for it is "bacterial SSU rRNA". It matches the Rfam family "Bacterial small subunit ribosomal RNA", at positions 11 to 507 of the family's 1533-position model. The record is from RNAcentral. Lineage: Bacteria; Pseudomonadati; Bacteroidota; Bacteroidia; Bacteroidales.